CACGUAGGGUGCGAGCGUUUGUCCGGAAUUAUUGGGCGUAAAGAGCUCGUAGGCGGUGUGUCGCGUCGGCCGUGAAAACCUGCAGCUUAACUGUGGGCUUGCGGUCGAUACGGGCAUCACUGGAGUUCGGCAGGGGAGACUGGAAUUCCUGGUGUAGCGGUGAAAUGCGUAGAUAUCGGGAGGAACACCAGUGGCGAAGGCGACUACCUGGCCUGUUCUUGACGCUGAGGCGCGAAAGCUAGG
RNAcentral lists this ribosomal RNA (243 nucleotides) under uncultured bacterium. Its description in RNAcentral is "partial 16S ribosomal RNA". It matches the Rfam family "Bacterial small subunit ribosomal RNA", at positions 524 to 764 of the family's 1533-position model. The record is from RNAcentral.